RNAcentral lists this ribosomal RNA (482 nucleotides) under uncultured bacterium. Its description in RNAcentral is "partial 16S ribosomal RNA". It matches the Rfam family "Bacterial small subunit ribosomal RNA", at positions 29 to 507 of the family's 1533-position model. The record is from RNAcentral.
AUUGAACGCUGGCGGCAUGCCUUACACAUGCAAGUCGAACGGUAACGGGCCUUCGGGUGCCGCCGAGUGGCGAACGGGUGAGUAAUACAUCGGAACGUGCCCGAUCGUGGGGGAUAACGAGGCGAAAGCUUUGCUAAUACCGCAUACGAUCUACGGUUGAAAGCAGGGGACCGCAAGGCCUUGCGCGGACGGAGCGGCCGAUGGCAGCUUAGGUAGUUGGUGGGAUAAAAGCUUACCAAGCCGACGAUCUGGAGCUGGUAUGAGAGGAUGAUCAGCCACACUGGGAGUGAGACAGGGCCCAGACUCUGAGGGGAGGCAGCAGUGGGGAAUUUUGGACAAUGGGGGAAAGGGUGAUACAGGAAUGCGGCGUGAAGGAUGAAGGAGUUAGGGUUGGAAAGUGAUGAUGUACGGAGCGAAAAGACUUUUUUUAAUACAGGAGGGUAAUGACGGUACCGGAAGAAUAAGCACCGGCUAACUACGUG